This 566-nucleotide ribosomal RNA is filed under the name uncultured bacterium. RNAcentral describes it as "partial 16S ribosomal RNA". It matches the Rfam family "Bacterial small subunit ribosomal RNA", at positions 355 to 914 of the family's 1533-position model. The record is from RNAcentral.
UGGGGAAUUUUGGACAAUGGGGGAAACCCUGAUCCAGCCAUCCCGCGUGUGCGAUGAAGGCCUUCGGGUUGUAAAGCACUUUUGGCAGGAAAGAAACGUCGCGGGUUAAUACCCCGCGAAACUGACGGUACCUGCAGAAUAAGCACCGGCUAACUACGUGCCAGCAGCCGCGGUAAUACGUAGGGUGCAAGCGUUAAUCGGAAUUACUGGGCGUAAAGCGUGCGCAGGCGGUUCGGAAAGAAAGAUGUGAAAUCCCAGAGCUUAACUUUGGAACUGCAUUUUUAACUACCGGGCUAGAGUGUGUCAGAGGGAGGUGGAAUUCCGCGUGUAGCAGUGAAAUGCGUAGAUAUGCGGAGGAACACCGAUGGCGAAGGCAGCCUCCUGGGAUAACACUGACGCUCAUGCACGAAAGCGUGGGGAGCAAACAGGAUUAGAUACCCUGGUAGUCCACGCCCUAAACGAUGUCAACUAGCUGUUGGGGCCUUCGGGCCUUGGUAGCGCAGCUAACGCGUGAAGUUGACCGCCUGGGGGGUACGGUCGCAAGAUUAAAACUCAAAUGAAUUGAC